GAUGAACGCUGGCGGCGUGCCUAAUACAUGCAAGUCGAGCGAACGGACGAGAAGCUUGCUUCUCUGAUGUUAGCGGCGGACGGGUGAGUAACACGUGGAUAACCUACCUAUAAGACUGGGAUAACUUCGGGAAACCGGAGCUAAUACCGGAUGAUAUUUUGAACCGCAUGGUUCAAAAGUGAAAGACGGUCUUGCUGUCACUUAUAGAUGGAUCCGCGCUGCAUUAGAUAGUUGGUAAGGUAACGGCUUACCAAGGCAACGAUGCAUAGCCGACCUGCGAGGGGGGUCGGCCACACUGGAACUGGGACGCGGUCCAGACUCCUACGGGAGGCAGCAGUAGGGUAUCUUCCGCAGUGGGCGAAAGCCUGACGGAGCAACGCCGCGUGAGUGAUGAAGGUCUUCGGAUCGUAAAACUCUGUUAUUAGGGAAGAACAUAUGUGUAAGUAACUGUGCACAUCUUGACGGUACCUAAUCAGAAAGCCACGGCUAACUACGUG
Molecule: ribosomal RNA, 497 nt
Filed under: uncultured bacterium
Lineage: Bacteria
Description: partial 16S ribosomal RNA
Rfam family: Bacterial small subunit ribosomal RNA
Source: RNAcentral